RNAcentral lists this ribosomal RNA (450 nucleotides) under uncultured soil bacterium. Its description in RNAcentral is "bacterial SSU rRNA". It matches the Rfam family "Bacterial small subunit ribosomal RNA", at positions 26 to 522 of the family's 1533-position model. The record is from RNAcentral.
AGAACGAACGCUGGCGGCAUGCCUAAUACAUGCAAGUCGAACGAACACUUCGGUGUUAGUGGCGCACGGGUGCGUAACGCGUGGGAAUCUGCCCUUGGGUUCGGAAUAACAGUUGGAAACGACUGCUAAUACCGGAUGAUAUCGAAAGAUCAAAGAUUUAUCGCCCAGGGAUGAGCCCGCGUAGGAUUAGCUAGUUGGUGAGGUAAAGGCUCACCAAGGCGACGAUCCUUAGCUGGUCUGAGAGGAUGAUCAGCCACACUGGGACUGAGACACGGCCCAGACUCCUACGGGAGGCAGCAGUAGGGAAUAUUGCACAAUGGGCGAAAGCCUGAUGCAGCGACGCCGCGUGAGGGAUGAAGGCCUUGGGUGUAAACCUCUUUCAGCAGGGACAAGCGCAAGUGACGGUACUGCAAGAAGAAGCACCGGCUAACUACGAGCCAGCACGCCGAC